AAAUGCGAUAAGUAGUGUGAAUUGCAGAAUUCAGUGAAUCAUCGAAUCUUUGAACGCACAUUGCGCCCUUUGGUAUUCCUUAGGGCAUGCCUGUUCGAGCGUCAUUUAAACCUUCAAGCUCAGCUUGGUGUUGGGUGACUGUCCGCUUCACCGCGGACUCGCCUCAAAAUUAUUGGCGGCCGGUACAUUGGCUCUCGAGCGCAGCAGAAACGCGUAACUCGAGGUCCUCGUGCUGGCUCCCAGAAGCUAUCUUCACAAUUUUGACCACGGAUCAGGUAGGGAUACCCGCUGAACUUAAGC
This 300-nucleotide unclassified non-coding RNA is filed under the name plant metagenome. RNAcentral describes it as "partial contains 5.8S ribosomal RNA, internal transcribed spacer 2, and large subunit ribosomal RNA". The stretch from base 1 to 104 matches the Rfam family "5.8S ribosomal RNA", at positions 51 to 154 of the family's 154-position model. The record is from RNAcentral.